GCCUUUGUGGUGUAAUGGUCAACGUACUCGGCGCAUAUUCGAGAGGUCCAGGUUCGAUUCCCGGUGAGGGCA
RNAcentral lists this transfer RNA (72 nucleotides) under Stegodyphus mimosarum. It matches the Rfam family "tRNA". Rfam says of the family: Transfer RNA (tRNA) molecules are approximately 80 nucleotides in length. Their secondary structure includes four short double-helical elements and three loops (D, anti-codon, and T loops). The record is from Rfam by way of RNAcentral. Lineage: Eukaryota; Metazoa; Arthropoda; Arachnida; Araneae; Eresidae.